GAUCAUGGCUCAGGAUGAACGCUAGCUACAGGCUUAACACAUGCAAGUCGAGGGGCAGCAUGGUCUUAGCUUGCUAAGGCCGAUGGCGACCGGCGCACGGGUGAGUAACACGUAUCCAACCUGCCGUCUACUCUUGGACAGCCUUCUGAAAGAGAUAAUACAAGAUGGCAUCAUGAGUCCGCAUGUUCACAUGNUAAAGUAUUCCGGUAGACGAUGGG
This 218-nucleotide ribosomal RNA is filed under the name uncultured bacterium. RNAcentral's name for it is "partial 16S ribosomal RNA". It matches the Rfam family "Bacterial small subunit ribosomal RNA", at positions 15 to 229 of the family's 1533-position model. The record is from RNAcentral.